RNAcentral lists this ribosomal RNA (407 nucleotides) under uncultured bacterium. Its description in RNAcentral is "partial 16S ribosomal RNA". It matches the Rfam family "Bacterial small subunit ribosomal RNA", at positions 30 to 526 of the family's 1533-position model. The record is from RNAcentral.
AUUGAACGCUGGCGGCAGGCCUAACACAUGCAAGUCGAGCGGAGCGGCGGACGGGUGAGUAAUGCCUAGGAAUCUGUCUGGUAGUGGGGGAUAACGCCCGGAAACGGGCGCUAAUACCGCAUACUAUCAGAUGAGCCUAGGUCGGAUUAGCUAGUUGGUGGGGUAAAGGCCUACCAAGGCGACGAUCCGUAACUGGUCUGAGAGGAUGAUCAGUCACACUGGAACUGAGACACGGUCCAAACUCCUACGGGAGGCAGCAGUGAGGAAUAUUGGUCAAUGGGCGAGAGCCUGAACCAGCCAAGUAGCGUGCAGGAUGACGGCCUAUGGGUUGUAAACUGCUUUUAUGCGGGGAUAGGUACCGCAUGAAUAAUGACCGGCUAAUUCCGUGCCAGCAGCCGCGGUAAUAC